CAAUAGCGUAUAUUAAAGUUGUUGCAGUUAAAAAGCUCGUAGUUGGAUCUCGGGCCGUCGCCGGCGGUGCGGGUCUACGCCCGCCUACUGCCGCGCGACGCCUAACCGGCGGGACGCGUCGGGUGCCCUUGACUGGGUCGCCCGCCGCACCCGCCCAGUUUACUUUGAAAAAAUUAGAGUGUUCAAGGCAGGCUCCGACGCCUGGAUAGUGGUGCAUGGAAUAAUGGAAUAGGACCUCGGUUCUAUUUUGUUGGUUUUCGGAAGACGAGGUAAUGAUUGAGAGGGACAGACGGGGGCAUUCGUAUGGCGGUGUUAGAGGUGAAAUUCUUGGAUCGCCGCCAGACGGACUACUGCGAAAGCAUUUGCCAAGAAUGUUUUCAUUAAUCAAGAACGAAAGUCAGAGGUU
RNAcentral lists this ribosomal RNA (406 nucleotides) under Annelida sp. MM00807. Its description in RNAcentral is "SSU rRNA". It matches the Rfam family "Eukaryotic small subunit ribosomal RNA", at positions 592 to 998 of the family's 1831-position model. The record is from RNAcentral. Lineage: Eukaryota; Metazoa; Annelida.